Phrynosoma platyrhinos (Desert horned lizard) is the source of this 72-nucleotide non-coding RNA. The record is from the annotation of a GenBank genome assembly. NCBI's taxonomy places the organism in Eukaryota, Metazoa, Chordata, Lepidosauria, Squamata, Phrynosomatidae.
GCCAGCAUGAUUUAGUGGUGUGAAUUUUGGGACUACAACUCUAGAGACCAGGGUUCGAUUCCCAGUUUGACC